GCGGCGGGGGUAAAGCGCGUCCUUGGUAAGGACGAGACCCCGAGUUCAAAUCUCGGCCUAGGCUCUUCCUGCGACCUCGCCGCU
RNAcentral lists this transfer RNA (84 nucleotides) under Halorubrum ezzemoulense. Its description in RNAcentral is "tRNA-Thr". The stretch from base 1 to 64 matches the Rfam family "tRNA", at positions 10 to 71 of the family's 71-position model. From Rfam's summary of the family: Transfer RNA (tRNA) molecules are approximately 80 nucleotides in length. Their secondary structure includes four short double-helical elements and three loops (D, anti-codon, and T loops). Further hydrogen bonds mediate the characteristic L-shaped molecular structure. tRNAs have two regions of fundamental functional importance: the anti-codon, which is responsible for specific mRNA codon recognition, and the 3' end, to which the tRNAs corresponding amino acid is attached (by aminoacyl-tRNA synthetases). tRNAs cope with the degeneracy of the genetic code in two manners: having more than one tRNA (with a specific anti-codon) for a particular amino acid; and 'wobble' base-pairing, i.e. permitting non-standard base-pairing at the 3rd anti-codon position. The record is from RNAcentral. Lineage: Archaea; Methanobacteriati; Methanobacteriota; Halobacteria; Halobacteriales; Haloferacaceae.